UACGUAGGGGGCGAGCGUUGUCCGAAGUUACUGGGCGUAAAGCGCGCGUAGGCGGGCAAUUAAGUGAGAAGUGAAAGGCUGGGGCUCAACCUCAUGCAGUGCUUCUCAUACUGGUUUUCUUGAGGGCGGUAGAGAAAAGUGGAAUGGCUGGUGUAGCGGUGAAAUGCGUAGAUAUCAGUCGGAACACCGGUGGCGAAGGCGGCUUUUUGGGCCGUUCCUGACGCUGAGGCGCGAAAGCCAGGGGAGCGAACGGG
RNAcentral lists this ribosomal RNA (254 nucleotides) under uncultured bacterium. Its description in RNAcentral is "partial 16S ribosomal RNA". It matches the Rfam family "Bacterial small subunit ribosomal RNA", at positions 524 to 776 of the family's 1533-position model. The record is from RNAcentral.